This 433-nucleotide ribosomal RNA is filed under the name uncultured bacterium. RNAcentral describes it as "partial 16S ribosomal RNA". It matches the Rfam family "Bacterial small subunit ribosomal RNA", at positions 29 to 507 of the family's 1533-position model. The record is from RNAcentral.
AACGAACGCUGGCGGCAUGCCUAACACAUGCAAGUCGAACGAGACCUUCGGGUCUAGUGGCGCACGGGUGCGUAACGCGUGGGAACCUGCCCUUAGGUUCGGAAUAACUCCCCGAAAGGGGUGCUAAUACCGGAUAAUGUCUUCGGACCAAAGAUUUAUCGCCUUUGGAUGGGCCCGCGUUGGAUUAGCUAGUUGGUAGGGUAAAAGCCUACCAAGGCGACGAUCCAUAGCUGGUCUGAGAGGAUGAUCAUCCACACUGGGACUGAGACACGGCCCAGACUGCUACGGGAGGCAGCAGUGGGGAAUAUUAGACAAGGGGCGAAAGCGUGAUAAAGCAAUGCCGCGUGAGUGAUGAAGGCCUUAGGGUUGUAAAGCUCUUUUACCCGGGAUGAUAAUGACAGUAACGGGAGAAUAAGCUCCGGCUAACUACGUG